GUGGCCGAGUGGUUAAGGCGAUGGACUGCUAAUCCAUUGGGGUUUCCCCGCGUGAGUUCGAAUCUCAUC
This is a non-coding RNA of Caenorhabditis remanei, 69 nucleotides long. The record is from Rfam. Lineage: Eukaryota; Metazoa; Nematoda; Chromadorea; Rhabditida; Rhabditidae.